Molecule: ribosomal RNA, 1217 nt
Filed under: uncultured Rhizaria
Lineage: Eukaryota
Description: SSU rRNA
Rfam family: Eukaryotic small subunit ribosomal RNA
Source: RNAcentral
CGGUAAUUCCAGCUCCAAUAGCGUAUACUAAAGUUGUUGCAGUUAAAAAGCUCGUAGUUGAAUUUCUGCGGGGACGGAGCGGCCGGUCGCAACUUGCGACUCGAGCUAGCGCUUUCCCCGCAUCCUGCCGCGAACCGUGCUACCAUUAGUUUGGUGGCGCUGGGGAUCGGCUCGAUUACUUUGAGAAAAAUAGAGUGUUCAAAGCAGGCCACACGCCUUGAAUAAGUUAGCAUGGAAUAAUGACUAAGGACUUCGGUUCUAUUUUGUUGGUGUUCGGGACUGAAGUAAUGAUUGAUAGGGACAGUUGGGGCGGUCUGUAUUCCAAAGCGAGAGGUGAAAUUCUUAGACCUUCGGAAGACAAACAGCUGCGAAAGCGUUCCGCAAGGAUGUUCCCUUUGAUCAAGAACGAAAGUUGGGGGAUCGAAGACGAUCAGAUACUGUCGUAGUCUCAACUAUAAACUAUACCAGCUAGGGAUCGGUCAACGUUUAAUUAUUCGACUUGAUCGGCACCUUAUGAGAAAUCAAAGCAUCUGGGUUCCGGGGGGAGUAUGGUCGCAAGGCUGAAACUUAAAGGAAUUGACGGAAGGGCACCACCAGCCGUGGAGCCUGCGGCUUAAUUUGACUCAACACGGGAAAACUUACCAGGUCCAGACAUAGUAAGGAUUGACAGAUUGAUAGCUCUUUCUUGAUUCUGUGGGUGGUGGUGCAUGGCCGUUCUUAGUUGGUGGAGUGAUUUGUCUGGUUAAUUCCGUUAACGAACGAGACCCCAGCCUGCUAAAUAGCGCGGCUGAGCUUUGCUCGGUGCGAGCUUCUUAGAGGGACUAUGAUGCGCGAUAGCACAUGGAAGUUUGGGGCAAUAACAGGUCUGUGAUGCCCUUAGAUGUUCUGGGCCGCACACGGGCUACACUGGCGCCUGCAACGAGCAUAUCAGCUGGCCCGAGAGGGUCUUGGCUAAUCUUUUGAACCGGCGCCGUGCUUGGGAUUGACCUUUGCAAUUGUUGGUCAUGCAACGAGGAAUGCCUUGUAAACGCGAGUCAUCAGCUCGCAUUGAAUACGUCCCUGCCCUUUGUACACACCGCCCGUCGCUCCUACCGAUGAAUGUUCCGAUGAAAUUUUCGGAGAGCGCCAGAGAACGGGGCUCCGCCUUGCAGAUCUGGAGGCUCAAAGUCACUUAAAUCUGAACAUUUCGAGGAAGGAGAAGUCGUAACAAGGUAACC